CGAAACCUCCGAAUGGAAACAGAUUCGGACUCUGAUGGCUCUCAUGUCUCCGCCACUCCUCCGAGAGACUCUAAUCCGCCGCUGCUGCCAUCGCAAAUUCCUCAGAGGACUCUUCUCAACUCUAAAUCUAAAGUUAGAGUCAAACCAAUCAAAACAUCUUCGCGCACAGAAAGCGAAAAAACAACCAACCCUAAACCCUUCCAAUCGGAACCUACACCAAACAACCCUACUCCUGCCAAAACUCUACCUUUCCAGAUUCGCCGGCCAUUCGCUCAAAACCUCUCUACCUCGGCCGUUAAUUCCCUCGAAACCCUUCCAGCUGGAUUCUUCUCUAAACACGCGUCAUUCUCAAAAAUCCAUAAACCCUCUCUCAAUUUCGAAAAGGACCAAUCUCUCCCUCUUCCUUCUAAUCCUGAAACUUCUGAAAUCAAAAGUGAUGUUGCCAAGGUGAAGAAACAGAUUAAUUUGGUCAGCGUUGAUAUGCCUUUGCCGCCGGUGAAAUUACGAAAAUCUAGUGGAGAAGGUAACUUCGUGAGGUUGAAUUUGAAUCGCGGUAAACGUAAAUUUGUGAAUAAGGGUAAAAGAACCAAAAAUAGUUAUGCAUCAUCCAGCACUAGGGAAUCUUAUAGGAAAAGUAAGUCAAAAUUAAUUAAAAAGAAACAGAAGAAUUUAAGUGGUGAUGAAGAGGAUUUGGUAAUUGAAGCCACGCAACAGAAUCAAAAGAAAAGAAAAGUAGCCAGUGAUUUAGUAGAAGAGGCUGUGAGAGCCGUUAAAAAUGAGGCUUCUGAUGAGAAUCUAGUGAGCUUGUUGAAGCUGGUGUACGGUUAUGAUGCAUUUCGUGAUGGACAGUUGGAAGCAAUUAAGAUGGUACUUGAUGGAAAAUCAACGAUGCUGGUUUUGCCAACCGGUGUGGGGAAGUCUUUGUGUUAUCAGAUACCGGCAAUGGUUUUACCGGGAUUAACUCUGGUUGUCAGCCCAUUAGUGGCAUUAAUGAUUGAUCAGUUGAGACAGUUGCCUCCUGUGAUUCGAGGGGGUCUUUUGUGUAGUAGUCAGAGACCUCAAGAGGUUAACGAGACGCUAAAGCUGCUUCAUGAAGGUGUCAUUAAGGUGCUUUAUGUUUCACCCGAAAGGUUUCUAAAUGCAGAAUUUUUAUCAAUAUUUUCUGCUACUUUGUCUGUAUCACUUGUUGUUGUGGAUGAAGCACAUUGUAUAUCAGAAUGGUCACACAAUUUCCGGCCCUCAUACAUGAGGCUUAGGGCGUCUUUACUUCAAGCAAGGCUUAAUGUUGAGUGUGUUCUUGCAAUGACUGCAACUGCCACAACCACCACUUUGCAUGAUGUUAUGUCUGCUUUAGAAAUUCCAACAGGCAAUCUCAUUCAAAAAGCCCAAUUAAGGGACAAUCUACAAUUAUCAGUAUCUUUAAGUGGAAACAAUAGAAUGAAAGAUCUGCUGACGUUAAUCAGUUCUUCCCCCUUCAGGGAAGUUCAAAGUAUCAUUAUUUAUUGCAAAUUUCAGUCUGAAACUGAUCUUGUAAGCAGAUACUUGUGUGAUAACAAUAUCUCCGCAAAGAGUUAUCACAGUGGAAUCCCUGCUAAGGAUCGCAGCCGUGUACAAGAUUUGUUUUGCUCUAAUAAGAUCAGAGUGGUCGUUGCAACUGUGGCAUUUGGCAUGGGACUUGACAAGAGGGAUGUUGGAGCUGUAAUUCAUUACAGCAUGCCAGAAAGCUUGGAAGAGUAUGUUCAGGAGAUAGGACGUGCUGGACGAGAUGGGAGGUUGUCCUAUUGCCAUCUAUUUUAUGAUAAUAUUACUUACAUCAGGCUCCGUAGUCUCAUGCACAGCGAUGGAGUAGAUGAAUAUGCAAUAAACAAAUUCCUCUGUCAAGUUUUCUCUAAUGGCAAGAAUUCUUGUGGGAAAAUUUGCUCAGUUAUCAAGGAAUCAGCCUCUCGCAAAUUUGAUAUGAAGGAAGAGGUGAUGCUUACUCUUUUGACACACUUGGAGUUGGGGGAAGUACAAUACUUGCGUCUACUCCCACAGCUAAAUGUAACUUGUACUUUGAAUUUCCAUAAGACCACUCCAACAUUGCUUGCUGACAAGGAUAAUGUGGUCUCAGCAAUUGUAAAGAAGUCUGAGAUUAAACUAGGACAAUAUGUAUUUGACAUUCCGACUGUAGCAAACAGCAUUGGCUCUACAGCUAUUGAUGUAUCAAAUCAGUUGCUGAAUUUAAAGUCGAUGGGAGAAGUAACUUAUGAGUUGAAGGAUCCUGCCUACUGUUACACAAUUUUGGAGCUCCCCAGUGAAUUUUGUUCUCUUUCAGCACAUCUUACAAAAUGGUUAUCAGAGGUUGAAAGUUGCAAGGUAACCAAAUUGGACACAAUGUUCAAUGCUGCUGUUUUUGCUGUGAACAUGUGUGAGAAGGUGGAUGGCUGCUAUGGUUCACAGCAUACCCCUUGCUUGCAAAAGAAGAUUUUGGAUUACUUUAAGGGGGAUGGUGACUGUGAUGUCCCUAAUAAGAUUGGUCAGAGCAGCCCAUUUCUAAGAGCAGAUAUAAAGGUGUUUCUGCAGAGUAACUCGCACACAAAAUUUACCCCUAGAGCUGUUGCAAGAAUAAUGCAUGGCAUUGCAAGCCCAUCGUACCCUUCUAUGACUUGGUCUAAAACUCAUUUCUGGGGAAGAUAUAUGCAAAUAGACUUCCAAGCCGUAAUGGAAGCAGCAAAGGCAGAGCUCUUGAAUUUUGUUGGGAAGGAUGUGCCUUAGUUGCUUACAAUCGUGUAUAAUAUCCUACAACAAUUGAAUUGGAGGGCCAUUUCAUACUAUUACCGUAAAUUUUCUUAGCAAAGUAAUUUUUUUUUUUAACUCUCAACCAUUUUUUUCAGAUGUCCCAAAUUUCCUCCAAAGUCCUUCAGUGAUCAACACUUUCUCUGCAUAGUAUGAUUAAAUUAUCCUGAACAAUUUAUAAUUCAUGUAAAUGUUUAUUCUUUCCCUGUGAAAGGUCACCAGCAGAAGUGUUCUACAGGCAUAUCUAGUGGGGGCAAACAACCCAAUCCGGGUAUUGUUUGGUUCAAGUUGACUCAAUGAAAUAGACAUAAUCGCAUAAGGUUUGGGCUGAAACUUGACGAAUUCAAGUGUUGUUGGCUUGAGUUUGAACUUAAAUUUGAGAAUGAAAGUUAAAGUGAAAAUUCAAGUUCGGUUUAAAAAUGUAUAGUUAACUCUCAUUAUAUAUAUAUAUAUUUCUUUAUUAUUUUUUUAUAUUUAAAGUUAAA
RNA transcript from Mangifera indica (mango), 3260 nucleotides. It is a transcript of the gene named ATP-dependent DNA helicase Q-like 5, with no coding region annotated. The transcript has 20 exons. The record is from RefSeq and is a predicted model, not a curated record. NCBI's taxonomy places the organism in Eukaryota, Viridiplantae, Streptophyta, Magnoliopsida, Sapindales, Anacardiaceae.